CGCAGGUCAGGAGGCGCGAGCGAGCCGGAAGCGCAGCCGCUGACUGGCCACCGGAAGCACAGCCGCCUGUGGCCUCCCAGGAGCUGUGCAGUUAGAAAGGAUUGUUAGCAAUUUGAAAGGAUUGUUAGCAAAGGGGGAAAGGAGGUUUGGAAGACCGAGGACCUGGCGCGGUGGAAAGGCUUUGACAGCGAGGACGACACGUGGAAGCGGAGCAGCACUUGGUGAACGGCGAGGUCAUCCAUGACUUCAGGUGCCACAGAGAAGCAGAAAGAGAGCGCGCUGACCUGAACCAGUGGGAGCUCACCCGACAAUGUCAGUAAGUGGAUUUCCAGGUCUGCCAACAACCGCUUCUCCAAGACUCCCCUGAGGCACUAGUGAUCAGCAGGGACCACGAGCCCCAAAAGAGAGUGUGCUGGCGACCAGCCAGGAGUUCAGGAGAAACACAGACCCUUUCCGUCCAGCAGAAAGAACAUGGACCUUGCAGAGUCAAGUACCUAGAUCCUUGGGCCUAAGAGCCCCAUUAAGAGCAGGACGGCUUUCCCAGUGAGAGACCUGAGGAACGACCCCCUGGAGCAGGGUCCAGAGGACAAGGUGGCGUCAGAAGUGGCAGCAGCGAAACCGAUGGGAGCUUUAUUGGGCUCUGGUGCCUGCUGAGCGAGCCAGGAUGAGGAACAGGCCCUGAAUAUACCCACUAGCUUCUCAGGUGCCAGACUGUGGCCACCGGUACAUCCCUGUUCAUAGUUGUCCAUAGCCAGUGGACAUAAACGUCUAUUACAGGAGUGACAGCCAGGGAAAGGAAAUUUAUUAAGGACAGAAGAGACCAGCCUUUUGACAAGUGGUUGCGUUUCAGUGUGAGGCAAACACAGAGUGCCUACAUGUACAGAACUAUUGCUCUGCAGCAAGAUGGCUUCACCCAUGUCUUGUUACCCACAAAAUCAUCAGAGAAUAACUCACUGAAUCCAGAGGUAAUAGAAGAGGUCCAAGCGCUCUGAACAUGGCUGCUGCCGGCGACGACAAGCUGGUGCUGCUCAGCUAAGUUGGCAGUGUCUUAUGCUGUGGUCUCUUUAUUUCGUAUGGUGAAUCACAGAUGACAGGAAAAGAGGAAGCAAUAAAAUGCCAACUAUGGACUGAAACCUUUACAACUUGUGAGCCAAAAUAAACCUCUACACCUUUGACUUGUAGGUGUUGGGCAUUUUGUCUCAACAACGAGAAAGUAACUAAGGAAGUCAUGGUUCAGUCAGUUAUGCUGGAGGAGUCCAAGGCCCUGGGAUGCUGUAACAUGAAGCUGGAUCUGGAGCAGGCCAGAGGGAGUGCGAGGUGCUGAAGAAGAUCUGGGGCUUGGGCCAGGGCAUGGACUCCACGUUAAAGUACUUGCAGAGGAAAAUUGAUGAAGUUUGCUUUGCAGCCACAUGUGGAUGACACUAGAACUUGUUUGAGUAGGACAUUAGUGGCUCCCAGUUGGCAUAAUCCAUCCCCUAGUCUGAAACACAUUCACCUGUCGUUCAUCCUUGGAAGCAGGACUGGAAACAUCCAAGCUACUCAUUUCUGAGUUUUAAGUCCUAUAUCUUUAAAAUAAAUAACUACAAAGCUCCUUUUUACAAAUAUCAUUAUUUUACACUUACAUGCAUACAACUAUAAAAGCAUAAUGGUAAGCAAUAGACGGCUUGUGGAAGCUCCGAUUUUCUGUCCUUUGGCUAGUACUGUAUUAAAAAAAAACAAUUGUGUUUUACUCAUCUGGGUGAAAGAAAAGUCAGGAAUAAUAUCUCUUUUCCUCAGUUUUUCCUAAUAAAGGGGACUAGCCAGCUUCACCUUCCCUACCCUAAAUAGAGAUACAAAGAUAUCUGGGAUAUUUCCUUAGUCUCCAAGGAAGGAGGUACAGGUACUUUAGAGAUGGACAAUUCUAAAUCAAAAUUAAAACUUACCUUUUAGGAAAGAUCUUUCUGAUAAACAGUCUCAGCAAGCACUUAGGAUUCAUGCUGAGAUAGCAAUGGGUUUUCCCUUUUUUUCCUAAUAUAUCCGGUUCUGACGCAGUGAACUUGCAGAAACUACUGUCUCUCUAGAAGAAAGCACAUUUUGUUUGCAG
RNAcentral lists this long non-coding RNA (2083 nucleotides) under Heterocephalus glaber (naked mole-rat). Its description in RNAcentral is "lncRNA (ENSHGLG00000038461.1)". The record is from RNAcentral. Lineage: Eukaryota; Metazoa; Chordata; Mammalia; Rodentia; Bathyergidae.